UACGUAGGUGGCAAGCGUUGUCCGGAUUUACUGGGCGUAAAGAGCGCGCAGGCGGUCGUUCAAGUCGAGUGUGAAAUCCCCCGGCUCAACUGGGGAACUGCACAGGAGACUGCUUGGCUUGAGUUCGGGAGAGGGAAGCGGAAUUCCGGGUGUAGCGGUGAAAUGCGUAGAUAUCCGGAGGAACACCGGUGGCGAAGGCGGCUUCCUGGACCGACACUGACGCUGAGGCGCGAAAGCCAGGGGAGCAAACGGG
Molecule: ribosomal RNA, 253 nt
Filed under: uncultured bacterium
Lineage: Bacteria
Description: partial 16S ribosomal RNA
Rfam family: Bacterial small subunit ribosomal RNA
Source: RNAcentral